Molecule: long non-coding RNA, 2237 nt
Filed under: Nicotiana tabacum (common tobacco)
Lineage: Eukaryota; Viridiplantae; Streptophyta; Magnoliopsida; Solanales; Solanaceae
Description: long non-coding RNA (NTAB_LNC000380)
Source: RNAcentral
AAAAAUCUUAAAGUUGUACGUGCUGAUUCAUAUUAGUCUCAUAACAGUACAGUGAUCCAAAUUCAUGGGAAAUGAUUAAACAAAAACUAAAUUAACAAGCACAAAGAAGAGUCCCAUUAUAGUCUUCACCAUAGGUAUCAAAUGUUACUAGUGUGUCCUCAUUUUACACAUGCUAAAAGAAACAGAAGAAACAAAUUAAGCAUAUUGAAAGAAAACAAAGAACAUAAGACAUCUAAUAAGUGCAAGGAUCUCCAUUUCUUCAAAUCACAUGAUCCAUUUCUAUAUGUUCAGAAUCAGUAAUGCGUACCUGAAUAUAGCAAACAAACAACAAAAAUCUUGAAGUUAUGAAGCAGCAGCAAGAUUAAUUCAGCAAGGAAGAAAUAGGCAACAGGAGCAGUAAAGCCUAGAUUCAACCAGUUGAACAAUGAAAUCAAUUCAUGAAAUCCAAUGGAACAGUAACCAGGCAACAAAACUCAACCAGAACUUUCAAAAACCAGAUUUAAACCAUUUCUUCGAUACCAAAGAGAAAUCAGAAACUAUUUUGAAAUGUCAAAAACCUCCAGAUUCAAAGGAAGAUCAAUGGAACAGUAGUUCCUUUGUAGUAUACUGUAUUUUCUAGGAAUUUUAAACUGAGCGAGCUGUAAAGGUAGAAAAAAAUAGAUCAAUCAAGAGAUAGUGGUUCUAAGCAAGGACGGACGACUGAGGAUUGGCCGGGGAGAGUCGUCUCAAAUACUGAUACCAUUUUAGAAAUAAGCCAAUAAAAAAAAUGGGGCCUUUUAAUUUAACUAAUUUGAACUUAAUUAAACUAAAGAGUCACUCUCUUUAAACGCCCUAUAAGAAAAGAAGAAGAAAGAGGCUUACCCAGCUUUUAAGGUGAGAACAGUGGAUUCAAUAUCAAUAAAUACUAUCCGAAAUAGUGAAGGGUGCUUGAUAAUAUUCCAUUCCUUGAAAGCCUGUGAAUACUAGAGCCAGUGAAACGGUAGCUACUAAAGCGUCUCAAAAUCUCUUCAGUAUUUCUUUUAGUAUUUUUCAGAAAAUGUUCUUCUUCAUUUCCAGUAUUUUCAAAAUCUCUCAUGUCCUCUCUGUAUCCUUCAGUAUUAAGAGUACCAGACUGCUCUUGUGUCUUUAUCCUCUAAUUUUCAUCCCCUUUAAUAGGCAUUCAGCUUAGUGCAUUCACCAUCAUCACUUCAUCUUUUUAAUUUUUAAUUAUCCACUUUUAAUGCAAUUCUAACCCUACCAUCCGUUAGAAGUUUCUUAAGUAGGUGAACACCCUUUUUAUUAAACAAUUCUCAAGCUACCCCUCACAACCACCUGUUAAUUACUUCUUCUUCCUAAAACUAACAAUGAGUCAAUUUUGAACCAAUAGUUCAGACCUAAAGUAUGGGUCAAUCUUGAACCCAAAGCCUAAACCAAGAAUCAGAAACACAAACAUGACUAAUUCGAGUGAGAAGCAAUCACAAAAGCCUAAAACACAAACUAAUCAUUGAUUUCUUUUAAGCUAAAUACCAAACUGGAAUCAAACUAAAUUAAUCAUAUUAACAAAGGUCCAAUUCAAGCUAAUUAAUCAGAAAGUGCCAAUAAUUUAAAAUAACAUUAAGAAAACGAAGAAUAUCAAAUAGCAAACUUGAAAAAGAAGGACCGAAAAACUGACAAAAAUGGACCCUAGAUUAGUCUAAAGGGAAUGACCAGGUUCAAAAUUUUCAACAAAUUUAGACGAAAUUCAUGCCAUUCGAAGAAUUAUAGAAGAAGAAAAGGAGCAAAAGAAUAAACGAACAAAAACUGGACGAAGAGAGAAAAAGAAACUUACCGAUUCAAAUCUUCUAACUUGACUGCUCUUAUAAUUUAAUCCUCAAGUAACGUCAUCCACUUGUUCUUGAGACGUUAGUUCAGGAUUAAAUGAAUCUUGACCGCUAAGAAAACCUCAAGGGAUGAACGAACUUGGCUAUGAUUUUUAGGGCUUGAAAACCUAGAUUGAAGAUUCGAAGAGCUCGGGCCAUGUUUGAGGGAAACAGAGUAAGGUUUUGAGAAGAGGGGGUUGAGGUGGUUAUACGGUGUGAUUUUGGUGGUGAACGGAGCCGGCGCCACCACCCUAAGGUGGUGAGGGUACGGUAGUAGCGUCUCUAGGGUUUGGUUAGAGACGAAGGGGUUGAGGGGUUCUAGGGGGGGUGUAAAGGAAUUGGGUAUAUUAAAUGGGGGGAUUAACACGAGCUGUUGGAUGUGGGUGAAAUCAAUGGCUU